GAUAACCAGGUACGAGUACCAUCCACCGCCUCGCUCGGUUCCAGAAACUUCCCUUUGCCUUUGCCCGAAACUUGCUCGGCAUACUUGGCGGCGUAAACCCUUCUGAUCGGCCGCUUCAACUUCUCCAAUUAUCCACCCUACGAUUUUUAUUUUCAGGCAAAAGCAGAUUCGUAGGAAACGAAAAUGUUCAAGAAGCCAGUGGAGGCCAAGACGCAGCAGCGGCUGUCAGGUGCCGAUCGUAAGAAGUUGAAGAGAACCGUUAAAGAACGCUUCCCCAAUGCCUCCGAUGCUGAUUUCGAUGCCUUAUUGCCCCCCAAGGCAGAGAUAACGGUUGCGAAGUUCCCAAAUCGAGUUCAUGUGUAUGGUCUGGAGGGUGAUUGUCCUAUAUUUUUUGAUGUUGAUGGUCGAGGCAAUGAAGUAUUCCCUACAGUUUAUGCUCUCUGGAAGGUCCCUGAAAUGUUGCCUGCAUUUUUUCUGAAAGGGGGUGAGGUUUCUCGUUUUAUCCUUGGAGGAGCGGAUUUGAUGUUCCCUGGUAUUUACAUCCCUGAAGAAGGUCUACCAUCAUUUUUAGCUGGGGAACCAUGGGCAGUGAAAGUUCCUGGAAACCCGGCACCAAUUGCUGUUGGGAUCACCACCAUCAGAAGUACGGAAGCUUUAAAAGCUGGUUUGCGCGGAAAGGCUUUGAGAAUACUUCAUUAUUACCGAGACUCACUUUGGGGCUUGGUUGAAGGUCAUUAUGUUCCGAAUGCUGGUUUUCUAGAAGACGUUGUUUUUGAAAAUCCUUCUUUGUCAUCUACUUCUCAAACUUCUGAUUUGUAUGAAUCUGAUGCCUUAAAUGAUCAAGAAAACAGCAUAAAAAAUCAAGAAGCAGGGGAUGGCAGUGAUGCUAUAGAUGCUUCUUCUGACCAUGAUCCUGCUUCUGUAGCUCAUACUGAUUUGAGGGACAAUAUUGUUGAACAAGCAGUUGUGGUGGAUGUGGAUGAUCUAAAAUUAACUAAGAAUGUGUCAACUGACAAAUUAAAUGUUGAGGACCAGCAUAGUCUAUCUACUGAUGAUAUAGAUGCACUUUUGGACAAAUGCCUUUUGCAAGCAUUGCAUACAACAGUGAAGGAUAAAGAUCUUCCCAUUUCUGGAAGUACAUUAUGGUCAAGUCAUGUAUUACCUUCUAGACCUUCAGGUCUCAGCUUGGAUAUCAAGAAGUCAUCAUAUAAGAAAUUAUCCAAGUGGUUACAAUCCAAAUCGUCUGCAGGAUUGAUGUCAGUAAAAGAAGACAAGCAUAAGAAAGAGGUGACUCUAGUUUCAGUUAACCGCAAUCAUCCAGCCUACACUUCCUUCAAGCCAGAGAAAAGGAGAGUGGAGAAAAAUGAGCAAACUGCUGAUCACAAUACCAGUGAAGGACGAUCCUGUAAAGUAUUGGAAGUGGUGGAGAUCUAUAAACCAAGUGUGCAUGUCAAUCGCAUUUUUGCUUCUGUAGGAGCUGAUGCAGGUAAAUUUUACAGUGCCUCAGAAGCAAGUGAAGUUGUAUUCAGGUAUGUCGAGCAAGAAAACCUAGUUAAACCAAUGGAUAAGUCCACUGUGGUUUUGGAUGCAAUGCUAUGUGAUGCUUUGUACAAGGGAACCGUCAAAAAAGGCUCAACUUAUCCAACUGAAAUUCAUAAGAAGGAAUUAGGUUCUACAUUCAUAAACAGAAUGCAAGCUCAUCACAGGGUUACUAGAGGAAGUGAAUCAGCUGUCCGCAAAGGUGCGCUCAAAACAAUCCAAAUAAUGACAGAGCGAAGGCAAGGUAACAAGAAGGUGACCAAACUGUCAGGGUUGGAGUCAUUUUUGAUAGAUGCUGAAACAUUGGCAUCAGAGCUGCAGAAGAAAUUUGCUUGUAGCACGUCAGUGGCAGAACUACCAGCCAACCUUAUAAUCAGAUUACAGUGCUCCUGUUAUUCACAGAGAAGGAAAAUGAUGGAGAAAUAAGAGAUACAGUGCUGCAUUUGUAUGGAUGAAAGAAAAGGGUUUGUUAGGAAUAUCAAAACAGGGAGAGGGAGGAGAAAUUAUGUUUGUGUGAAAGGUGGGUGAGGGAGGGAAAGUGGGGGAGGGAGGGAGGGAGGAAUUUUAUGAGACAAAUGAUAGUGUGCACCUUCUACACGCUGCCAAUAAUAGUUUCUUUUGAGUGUAUAUAUGCAGAAUGAAAUCUUUAUUUUAGUAGAUUACCAUAUACAAUAUACAUCUUUUCGCUGGAUGUCUCGGUUGGGGUCCUUGGAUGUGUCUUGGUCCUGAACUCCUUUGUUCUCAUUUCAUCUGGCUGUUUUGGAACACAGGUAAGAAGGGACAUGAAGUUCUGGUUCAGGGGGGUGUUAUCGAUGAUCUUGGGAGACAUCUAGUUGAGCAAUAUGGAAUACCGAAAAGAUACAUUGAAGUAUUUGAUAAAACCAAAAAAUGAGACUCAGGUUUUGAUCGCUUGCACCAUUUUGUGAUCGGAGUGGAGACAAAGUACAUCCCAGAUAAGAAAGCAGUCUCCUGUACCUGUCCAAGACUUGACAGAUUGGGGAACGGUACCUGAUCCCUAUUAAGAGUUAGUACUUAGACAGCUCUAUAAGGGCCUGUUUGGCUUAAUCUCUUUUUUUUUUUUUAGACUUUUAAGCUCUUAUAAUUAUAAGUUGUGUAAAACUUGAUAUUGAGAAGUAUUUAAGUUAAUAACGUGUUUGAAUAAA
Diospyros lotus (date-plum) is the source of this 2702-nucleotide RNA transcript. RefSeq lists it as uncharacterized. NCBI's taxonomy places the organism in Eukaryota, Viridiplantae, Streptophyta, Magnoliopsida, Ericales, Ebenaceae. The record is from RefSeq and is a predicted model, not a curated record. The transcript is spliced from 10 exons.